Small nuclear RNA from Oryctolagus cuniculus (rabbit), 164 nucleotides. Its record names the gene U2. It matches the Rfam family "U2 spliceosomal RNA". From Rfam's summary of the family: U2 is a small nuclear RNA (snRNA) component of the spliceosome (involved in pre-mRNA splicing). Complementary binding between U2 snRNA (in an area lying towards the 5' end but 3' to hairpin I) and the branchpoint sequence (BPS) of the intron results the bulging out of an unpaired adenosine, on the BPS, which initiates a nucleophilic attack at the intronic 5' splice site, thus starting the first of two transesterification reactions that mediate splicing. Lineage: Eukaryota; Metazoa; Chordata; Mammalia; Lagomorpha; Leporidae. The record is from Ensembl.
AUUGCUUUCAGCCUUUUGACUAAGAUCAAGUGUAGUAUCUGUUCUUAUCAGUUUAAAGUGGUUGGAGUUAGUUCAUCUUUGAAUGUUUUAUAGAAUUCAGUAGUAAAACCAUCAGGUCCCGGACUUUUCCUUGAUGGAAAAGUUUCAGUACUGUCUUAAUGUCA